This 72-nucleotide transfer RNA is filed under the name Methanosarcinales archaeon. It matches the Rfam family "tRNA". Rfam says of the family: Transfer RNA (tRNA) molecules are approximately 80 nucleotides in length. Their secondary structure includes four short double-helical elements and three loops (D, anti-codon, and T loops). Further hydrogen bonds mediate the characteristic L-shaped molecular structure. tRNAs have two regions of fundamental functional importance: the anti-codon, which is responsible for specific mRNA codon recognition, and the 3' end, to which the tRNAs corresponding amino acid is attached (by aminoacyl-tRNA synthetases). tRNAs cope with the degeneracy of the genetic code in two manners: having more than one tRNA (with a specific anti-codon) for a particular amino acid; and 'wobble' base-pairing, i.e. permitting non-standard base-pairing at the 3rd anti-codon position. Lineage: Archaea; Methanobacteriati; Methanobacteriota; Methanomicrobia; Methanosarcinales. The record is from Rfam by way of RNAcentral.
AGCGCUAUGGUGCAGUGGUUAGCACACAGGACUUUGAAUCCUGUAACCCCAGUUCGAAUCUGGGUAGCGCUA